GUGGGGAAUCUUGGACAAUGGGCGCAAGCCUGAUCCAGCCAUGCCGCGUGAGUGAAGAAGGCCUUCGGGUUGUAAAGCUCUUUUGUCAGGGACGAUAAUGACGGUACCUGAAGAAUAAGCCCCGGCAAACUUCGUGCCAGCAGCCGCGGUAAUACGAAGGGGGCUAGCGUUGUUCGGAAUUACUGGGCGUAAAGCGCACGUAGGCUGACAUUUAAGUCAGGGGUGAAAUCCCGAGGCUCAACCUCGGAACUGCCCUUGAUACUGGGUGUCUCGAGUCCGGAAGAGGUUAGUGGAAUUCCCAGUGUAGAGGUGAAAUUCGUAGAUAUUGGGAAGAACACCAGUGGCGAAGGCGGCUAACUGGUCCGGUACUGACGCUGAGGUGCGAAAGCGUGGGGAGCAAACAGGAUUAGAAACCCCAGUAGUCC
Molecule: ribosomal RNA, 425 nt
Filed under: uncultured bacterium
Lineage: Bacteria
Description: bacterial SSU rRNA
Rfam family: Bacterial small subunit ribosomal RNA
Source: RNAcentral